UAAUAAAUUCGGAUUCGGCAAAAAUUCGGGACAGGUAUAAUUCGGAUAUAAUUCUCCUUUGAAUUUUUAAAUUCGUUGAAAAAUACGGCUAAAAAACGGAUUCGGUAAUUAUUCGGAUACGUGAUUUAUACGGAUAUUAUAUGUUCACCAAUUAAAAAUUCGGAAUAAAAAAUUCAGCUAUAUAAUAAAUAUAUAAUAAUUAAUAUACUAUAUAUAUUAUUAUUAUAAUUUUUAUAUAUAGAUUAAAUAUAUUU
RNAcentral lists this long non-coding RNA (254 nucleotides) under Ananas comosus (pineapple). RNAcentral describes it as "long non-coding RNA (ACOM_LNC039463)". The record is from RNAcentral. Lineage: Eukaryota; Viridiplantae; Streptophyta; Magnoliopsida; Poales; Bromeliaceae.